GACGUACUAACUUGCGAUAAGCGCAGAUAAGGCAGUAAGAGCCGUUUGAGUCUGCGAUUUCCGAAUGGGGAAACCCAACUGCAUAAGCAGUUACUGUUAACUGAAUACAUAGGUUAACAGAGCAAACCGGGGGAACUGAAACAUCUAAGUACCCCGAGGAGAAGAAAUCAACCGAGAUUCCGGUAGUAGCGGCGAGCGAACCUGGAUUAGCCCUUAAGCACUCGGUGAAGUAGGUGAACAAGCUGGAAAGCUUGGCGAUACAGGGUGAUAGCCCCGUAACCGACGCUUCAUCGAGCGUGAAAUCGAGUAGGGCGGGACACGUGAUAUCCUGUCUGAAUAUGGGGGGACCAUCCUCCAAGGCUAAAUACUCCUGACUGACCGAUAGUGAACCAGUACCGUGAGGGAAAGGCGAAAAGAACCCCUGUGAGGGGAGUGAAAUAGAACCUGAAACCGUGUACGUACAAGCAGUAGGAGCACCUUCGUGGUGUGACUGCGUACCUUUUGUAUAAUGGGUCAGCGACUUAUAUUCAGUGGCAAGGUUAACCGUAUAGGGGAGCCGUAGCGAAAGCGAGUCUUAACUGGGCGCUCAGUCUCUGGAUAUAGACCCGAAACCGGGUGAUCUAGCCAUGGGCAGGUUGAAGGUUGAGUAACAUCAACUGGAGGACCGAACCGACUAAUGUUGAAAAAUUAGCGGAUGACUUGUGGCUAGGGGUGAAAGGCCAAUCAAACUCGGAGAUAGCUGGUUCUCCCCGAAAGCUAUUUAGGUAGCGCCUCGGACGAAUACUACUGGGGGUAGAGCACUGUUAAGGCUAGGGGGUCAUCCCGACUUACCAACCCUUUGCAAACUCCGAAUACCAGUAAGUACUAUCCGGGAGACACACGGCGGGUGCUAACGUCCGUCGUGGAGAGGGAAACAACCCAGACCGCCAGCUAAGGUCCCAAAGUAUUGCUAAGUGGGAAACGAUGUGGGAAGGCUCAGACAGCUAGGAUGUUGGCUUAGAAGCAGCCAUCAUUUAAAGAAAGCGUAAUAGCUCACUAGUCGAGUCGGCCUGCGCGGAAGAUGUAACGGGGCUAAGCA
RNAcentral lists this ribosomal RNA (1078 nucleotides) under Vibrio cholerae. RNAcentral's name for it is "partial 23S ribosomal RNA". It matches the Rfam family "Bacterial large subunit ribosomal RNA", at positions 55 to 1188 of the family's 2925-position model. The record is from RNAcentral. Lineage: Bacteria; Pseudomonadati; Pseudomonadota; Gammaproteobacteria; Vibrionales; Vibrionaceae.